This 759-nucleotide ribosomal RNA is filed under the name uncultured bacterium. Its description in RNAcentral is "bacterial SSU rRNA". It matches the Rfam family "Bacterial small subunit ribosomal RNA", at positions 62 to 817 of the family's 1533-position model. The record is from RNAcentral.
UCGACGGCAGCACGGGAGCAAUCCUGGUGGCGAGUGGCGAACGGGUGAGUAAUGUAUCGGAACGUACCUUUCAGUGGGGGAUAACGUAGCGAAAGUUACGCUAAUACCGCAUAUUCUGUGAGCAGGAAAGCAGGGGAUCGCAAGACCUUGCGCUGAUUGAGCGGCCGAUAUCAGAUUAGCUAGUUGGUGAGGUAAAGGCUCACCAAGGCGACGAUCUGUAGCGGGUCUGAGAGGAUGAUCCGCCACACUGGAACUGAGACACGGUCCAGACUCCUACGGGAGGCAGCAGUGGGGAAUUUUGGACAAUGGGGGCAACCCUGAUCCAGCCAUGCCGCGUGAGUGAAGAAGGCCUACGGGUUGUAAAGCUCUUUCAGCCGGGAAGAAAUCACAUGGGUUAAUACCCUGUGUGGAUGACGGUACCGGAAUAAGAAGCACCGGCUAACUACGUGCCAGCAGCCGCGGUAAUACGUAGGGUGCGAGCGUUAAUCGGAAUUACUGGGCGUAAAGCGUGCGCAGGCGGUUUGUUAAGAUAGGCGUGAAAUCCCCGGGCUCAACCUGGGAACUGCGUUUAUGACUGGCAGGCUAGAGUAUGGCAGAGGGGGGUGGAAUUCCACGUGUAGCAGUGAAAUGCGUAGAGAUGUGGAGGAACACCGAUGGCGAAGGCAGCCCCCUGGGCCAAUACUGACGCUCAUGCACGAAAGCGUGGGUAGCAAACAGGAUUAGAUACCCUGGUAGUCCACGCCCUAAACGAUGUCAACU